GCCUGGCAAAACUGCUUAAGGCACAGUUAAAAGCAGCUCAGGGGAAGGAUGAAAGCUGGGUUGGGGGAAAUGACAAUCUUCCCUCGCAGACGCUCCCCUUUGCCCCUUUCAGCUGAGCACAACUGCAGACGAGUUCGUUGCCCACUGGUCGCUCGAAUGCCACCUCCAAACCCAGCACAGGAGAGACAAAGAAGCAGGUCCAAAUGAAUUUGGUCCGCAUGUUUCACAAAGCGCUUACGUGUUCUGGCACUACUACUGUGGAAACAAAGAAGUGACACAGAUCGUGUGGAGGUUUGAAGGGAGCACGCUGCAUAUGAACCGUAGGGAACUGUUUGUUUUGGCGGUGGCCGCGAUUCCUGUGCUCCCUGCGGCUUCUCCCCUGUGCCCACGUCCCUCCUCCUCGCCUGGGGUCAAGCUGGGACGUUCAAAACCAAACGCUGCCCCCCGUGUUUUGCAGGUAGAGGUGAGCAAAGUGAAGCAUCGCUUCCACUUACAACUGUAAUUCAAGAAACGCUCUGCAUUUAACAGCUUUUUAGGACAGCGGGCAAGCCUGUCUCCUCCCGCUCCCCGCGCUCGGCUGCUCUCCAGUUCGUGGCC
Molecule: long non-coding RNA, 597 nt
Filed under: Struthio camelus australis
Lineage: Eukaryota; Metazoa; Chordata; Aves; Struthioniformes; Struthionidae
Description: lncRNA (ENSSCUG00000014405.1)
Source: RNAcentral